Molecule: transfer RNA, 75 nt
Filed under: subsurface metagenome
Description: tRNA-Ala
Rfam family: tRNA
About the family: Transfer RNA (tRNA) molecules are approximately 80 nucleotides in length.
Source: RNAcentral
GGGGCUGUAGCUCAGUUGGGAGAGCGCCUCCCUUGCACGGAGGAAGUCAGGAGUUCGAGUCUCCUCAGCUCCACC